This 75-nucleotide transfer RNA is filed under the name Dehalococcoidia bacterium. RNAcentral's name for it is "tRNA-Arg". It matches the Rfam family "tRNA". From Rfam's summary of the family: Transfer RNA (tRNA) molecules are approximately 80 nucleotides in length. Lineage: Bacteria; Bacillati; Chloroflexota; Dehalococcoidia. The record is from RNAcentral.
GCCCCCGUAGCUCAGUGGAAGAGCAACCGCCUUCUAAGCGGUGGGUCGGGUGUUCGAGUCACCCCGGGGGUACCC